RNAcentral lists this ribosomal RNA (452 nucleotides) under uncultured bacterium. RNAcentral describes it as "SSU rRNA". It matches the Rfam family "Bacterial small subunit ribosomal RNA", at positions 26 to 518 of the family's 1533-position model. The record is from RNAcentral.
AGGAUAAACGCUGGCGGCGUGCCUAACACAUGCAAGUCGAACGUCCUACGCAAGUAGGGAGUGGCGGACGGGUGAGUAACACGUGGGCAAUCUACCUUUCGGUGAGGAAUACCGGCGAGAAAUCGCCGACAAUACCGCAUACGCUUCGCAAGAAGCAAAGUCGCAAGACGCCGGAGGAGGAGCCUGCGCCCGAUUAGCUGGUUGGUGAGGUAAGAGCUCACCAAGGCGACGAUCGGUAGCUGGUCUGAGAGGAUGAUCAGCCACACUGGGAUUGAGAACGGCCCAGACUCCUACGGGGGCAGCAGUGAGGAAUUUUCGUCAAUGGGGGAAACCCUGAACGAGCAACGCCGCGUGCAGGAUGACGCUUCUCGGAGUGUAAACUGCUUUUCUCGGGGAAGAGAACGGACGGUACCCGAGGAAUCAGCCCCGGCUAACUACGUGCCAGCAGCCGC